This 1259-nucleotide ribosomal RNA is filed under the name Halomonas sp. HL31. RNAcentral's name for it is "bacterial SSU rRNA". It matches the Rfam family "Bacterial small subunit ribosomal RNA", at positions 31 to 1289 of the family's 1533-position model. Lineage: Bacteria; Pseudomonadati; Pseudomonadota; Gammaproteobacteria; Oceanospirillales; Halomonadaceae. The record is from RNAcentral.
GGGCCCAUGGCGGCAGCCUACACAUGCAGUCGAGCGGUAACAGAGCGUAGCUUGCUACACGCUGACGAGCGGCGGACGGGUGAGUAAUGCAUAGGAAUCUGCCCGGUAGUGGGGGAUAACCUGGGGAAACCCAGGCUAAUACCGCAUACGUCCUACGGGAGAAAGGGGGCUUCGGCUCCCGCUAUUGGAUGAGCCUAUGUCGGAUUAGCUAGUUGGUGAGGUAAAGGCUCACCAAGGCAACGAUCCGUAGCUGGUCUGAGAGGAUGAUCAGCCACAUCGGGACUGAGACACGGCCCGAACUCCUACGGGAGGCAGCAGUGGGGAAUAUUGGACAAUGGGGGCAACCCUGAUCCAGCCAUGCCGCGUGUGUGAAGAAGGCCUUCGGGUUGUAAAGCACUUUCAGCGAGGAAGAACGCCUAGUGGUUAAUACCCAUUAGGAAAGACAUCACUCGCAGAAGAAGCACCGGCUAACUCCGUGCCAGCAGCCGCGGUAAUACGGAGGGUGCAAGCGUUAAUCGGAAUUACUGGGCGUAAAGCGCGCGUAGGUGGCUUGAUAAGCCGGUUGUGAAAGCCCCGGGCUCAACCUGGGAACGGCAUCCGGAACUGUCAAGCUAGAGUGCAGGAGAGGAAGGUAGAAUUCCCGGUGUAGCGGUGAAAUGCGUAGAGAUCGGGAGGAAUACCAGUGGCGAAGGCGGCCUUCUGGACUGACACUGACACUGAGGUGCGAAAGCGUGGGUAGCAAACAGGAUUAGAUACCCUGGUAGUCCACGCCGUAAACGAUGUCGACCAGCCGUUGGGUGCCUAGCGCACUUUGUGGCGAAGUUAACGCGAUAAGUCGACCGCCUGGGGAGUACGGCCGCAGGGUUAAAACUCAAAUGAUUUGACGGGGGCCCGCACAAGCGGUGAGCAUGUGGUUUAAUUCGAUGCACGCGAAGAACCUUUACCUACUCCUUGACAUCCUGCGAACUUGUGAGAGAUCCUUGGUGGCCUUCGGAACGCAGAGACAGGUGCUGCAUGGCUGUCGUCAGCUCGUGUUGUGGAAUUGUUGGGUUAAGUUCGGAACGACGCAACCCUUGUCCUUAUUGCCACCGGUAUGCCGUAACUUCUAAAGUAGACCUGCCGGUGCAAACCGGAGGGAAAGUGUGGGGACGAACGUUCAAGUCUACAUGGCCUUUACGGAUAUAGGCCUUACACACGUGUGCAUCAAUUGACCCGGUAACAAAAGGGGUCGUGCGACGACCUCCUCGCGAAGAGAUGAC